Molecule: ribosomal RNA, 253 nt
Filed under: uncultured bacterium
Lineage: Bacteria
Description: partial 16S ribosomal RNA
Rfam family: Bacterial small subunit ribosomal RNA
Source: RNAcentral
UACGUAGGGCGCAAGCGUUAUCCGGAAUUAUUGGGCGUAAAGAGCUCGUAGGCGGCUUGUUGCGUCGGCUGUGAAAUCCCAUGGCUCAACUGUGGGCUUGCAGCCGAUACGGGCGGGCUAGAGUGCGGAAGAGGCGAGUGGAAUUCCUGGUGUAGCGGUGAAAUGCGCAGAUAUCAGGAGGAACACCGAUUGCGAAGGCAGCUCGCUGGGACGUAACUGACGCUGAGACGCGAAAGCGUGGGGAGCAAGCAGG